CGUGAGAUGUUGGGUUAAGUCCCGCAACGAGCGCAACCCUUGUCUUUAGUUGCCAUCAUUAAGUUGGGCACUCUAGAGAGACUGCCAGGGAUAACCUGGAGGAAGGUGGGGAUGACGUCAAAUCAUCCUGCCCCUUAUGCUUAGGGCUACACACGUGCUACAAUGGGUAGUACAGAGGGUUGCCAAGCCGUAAGGUGGAGCUAAUCCCUUAAAGCUACUCUCAGUUCGGAUUGUAGGCUGAAACUCGCCUACAUGAAGCUGGAGUUACUAGUAAUCGCAGAUCAGAAUGCUGCGGUGAAUGCGUUCCCGGGUCUUGUACACAC
RNAcentral lists this ribosomal RNA (323 nucleotides) under Clostridioides difficile. RNAcentral describes it as "bacterial SSU rRNA". It matches the Rfam family "Bacterial small subunit ribosomal RNA", at positions 1066 to 1390 of the family's 1533-position model. Lineage: Bacteria; Bacillati; Bacillota; Clostridia; Peptostreptococcales; Peptostreptococcaceae. The record is from RNAcentral.